GUCCGCCGCAAUUUCUAAUGAGCUAUUUGGACUUGUGGAGAGAGAGAGAGAGAGAGAAAUCGGAAAAUUUGAUUUCUGAGCCGGAACGGGAUUUAUCAGGCCGAGUUUAAAAAACCGGCAUGGAAGAAGAAGAAAAUUGUCGAUUAUUUUGUUCAUUAGGAGACUUUUUAAACAAACUUUCUAAAAUGUUUGGAGCGUAUAGUAGUACUGUAGUAAUAUAGCAGUCUAAGGUCUUUGUUAGAUUUCGUCUCGUUAUUUACGCUCGUUUUCCCUUCGAAUGUUUACGACUGCCUAUCUGACUAAUAUAGAAAGCAACAGGAACUUAUUUCUGGGGGAACUUGCAUAGAUCGAAGCCAUGUCGUUCGUCCAGGUUGUACCGACGACCAUCUGUAGGUAGAUGUUGUAAACAUGUCAACCUCUGUUGUCGUCUGUCGCCUAUAGAAAAUCGAUGGGCUCCUGUUGGCCGUAUUGAUUGCGAUUGUCAACGGUAUCUUUGUCAGAAGCGUCUUCCAGUUCGUCCAUCUAUACUUUAAUGUUUCGCCCGUUCGCGUUUGACAUGUUUAGAAAUGCUCUUUAGUCUCGAAAGAGUAAACAAAAUUAUAAUUUUGAUAUUAUAGAAAGCGCACUAGAGAGAUAAAGAGAGUGAAAGAUGGAGCACUUCUGCAACUAGCCGUCUUGGUUGUUAUUGCAUGUAACCUGUUGAUCAGACUUUCACGUUAGAGGAUUCAAGUAACCUAAUAUUUUUAUGGAUGCGGAAAUUCCGUACCGCAUUUUUGUAUAUUUUCAUAUUUCAUCGUCGCAUUGUAUUUUUAAUUCUUUCGCCUCCGAUGUCUUGCUUCAGACGGAAAUUUAAAUUUAUCGGUGUACUUAACCAUUGAAGAACGGAGAACCAUUUUUGCUUUCGGAAACUUCGAGGCUUGAAAUAUUUAUAGACAGGUCGAAGAGUUUCAUUUAGCGAGCGAGAGCGUAUGCCAAGUAGAUUUAAAUAUUACACAGUUUUCUGAAUUGUUUUUAGCCUUCUGGCGUAGUAGAAACAUCUGGUACGGCACGGUUAAACGUUCAAGCCCACGCAAAUGUUUCGAAGAAUUGGGAGGGGAAUAAAGCAGUUUUGUAUACUCCAAAAAGAAUUGGUCAUGCUCGCAUUUAUAAAGAACCAUUCCUCUACUUUGACAAAGCCGUUUUUGCCCAGUAGAUGCACAGCUAUUCGAUCAUUUACUGAUAGAGAUCGCCGAAAGAAUUUUUGUUUUACUGGUUUAUUUUACCUUCUUUCAGGAUUAGGCACAUGUUUUACUUUUUAAAAGACGAUGGCUAAGAUAUGAUGAAACGUUACUCUGACUCUCUCUCUCUCUCUUUCUCUUCGCUAGCAUCUGACAGCUGUGACUGCGGUCAAACGAAAAGAAAACACCCUCCACUGCAUUGCAGGAAGUUCAGCUAGAAGACUAGCAGUAUACAGAUGGUGAUUAAUGACUGUACACACACACACACAGCUAUCUGCUCGGUAAUAGCAGCUCGUAUUCUGGCGACAGAAAUUACUGUUCACAAGAGCGGUUAGAUCAUCCCAACUGUAAUCUUGGUAUCAGCAAAGUGGUAAAGUUGCUGGUUUUCCACUGCUCUACCAAAUAAACGAUGCUAUUCGACGUUAUAAGCUUCCAUUUCGUGACAUUUGCCCAGUUAUGUUAUCAAUACUAUAAUUCAAUGACAAUACUAAAAGAUCAUUCUUUUACUGGAUGAUAUCCUAUACAAAAGGGUUUUUAAUUUGGACUUAUAGCAGCUUAUCUAGAUGAUUCAU
RNAcentral lists this long non-coding RNA (1789 nucleotides) under Androctonus crassicauda. The record is from RNAcentral. Lineage: Eukaryota; Metazoa; Arthropoda; Arachnida; Scorpiones; Buthidae.